UACGUAGGGAGCAAGCGUUGUCCGGAAUCAUUGGGCGUAAAGCGCGCGUAGGUGGCCAUGUAAGUUCGCUGUGAAAGUCCAAGGCUCAACCUUUGAAAGCCGGUGGAUACUGUGAGGCUAGAGUACGGAAGAGGCGAGUGGAAUUCCUGGUGUAGCGGUGGAAUGCGCAGAUAUCAGGAGGAACACCAAUAGCGAAGGCAGCUCGCUGGGACGUUACUGACACUGAGGCGCGAAAGCGUGGGGAGCGAACAGG
RNAcentral lists this ribosomal RNA (253 nucleotides) under uncultured bacterium. Its description in RNAcentral is "partial 16S ribosomal RNA". It matches the Rfam family "Bacterial small subunit ribosomal RNA", at positions 524 to 776 of the family's 1533-position model. The record is from RNAcentral.